AUUGAACGCUGGCGGCAUGCCUUACACAUGCAAGUCGAACGGCAGCACGGGAGCAAUCCUGGUGGCGAGUGGCGAACGGGUGAGUAAUACAUCGGAACGUGCCCAAUCGUGGGGAGUAACGCAGCGAAGCUGUGCUAAUACCGCAUAAGAUCUACGGAUGAAAGCAGGGGAGUCGCAAGACCUUGCGCGAGUGGAGCGGCCGAUGGCAGAUUAGGUAGUUGGUGAGGUAAAGGCUCACCAAGCCUUCG
This 248-nucleotide ribosomal RNA is filed under the name uncultured bacterium. RNAcentral describes it as "partial 16S ribosomal RNA". It matches the Rfam family "Bacterial small subunit ribosomal RNA", at positions 30 to 278 of the family's 1533-position model. The record is from RNAcentral.